CAGUGGAGUGUUUGAACGUCGUCAUAAACAUUCUAUUCAAAGCUGCUUCUUUGAAGGGGCUGAGCUAUUACAACUUCGUCACCUACUGUUUUGUUCUAGCCACCUUGGUUUUCAUCCCUUUACUCUUCUUUAGAAAUACAGUGUUCCCUCCUUUGAAGUUCCCUAUCAUCUCUAGACCCUGCCUUCUUGGCCUUACAGGGUGUUUAGCAAGGAUAUGUUCAUAUAAAGGUGUACAACUUAGCUCUCCAACUCUUUCAUCUGCUCUUGGCAAUCUCUUACCAGCUUAUACCUUCAUACUUGCUGUCUUAUU
Hibiscus syriacus is the source of this 310-nucleotide long non-coding RNA. RefSeq lists it as uncharacterized. The transcript is spliced from 3 exons. NCBI's taxonomy places the organism in Eukaryota, Viridiplantae, Streptophyta, Magnoliopsida, Malvales, Malvaceae. The record is from RefSeq and is a predicted model, not a curated record.